UACGGGGGGAGCAAGCGUUGUUCGGAUUUACUGGGCGUAAAGGGCGCGUAGGCGGCCACCGCAAGUCGACUGUGAAAUCUCCUGGCUUAACUGGGAGGGUGCGCCGGAAACUGGAGUGCUUGAGCGUGGGAGAGGAAAGCGGAAUUCCUGGUGUAGCGGUGAAAUGCGUAGAUAUCAGGAGGAACACCUGCGGUGUAGACGGCUUUCUGGACCAUGGCUGACGCUGAGACACGAAAGCGUGGGUAGCAAACAGG
RNAcentral lists this ribosomal RNA (254 nucleotides) under uncultured bacterium. RNAcentral describes it as "partial 16S ribosomal RNA". It matches the Rfam family "Bacterial small subunit ribosomal RNA", at positions 524 to 776 of the family's 1533-position model. The record is from RNAcentral.